RNAcentral lists this RNase P RNA (372 nucleotides) under Eubacteriales bacterium. RNAcentral describes it as "RNase P RNA component class A". It matches the Rfam family "Bacterial RNase P class A". Rfam says of the family: Ribonuclease P (RNase P) is a ubiquitous endoribonuclease, found in archaea, bacteria and eukarya as well as chloroplasts and mitochondria. Its best characterised activity is the generation of mature 5'-ends of tRNAs by cleaving the 5'-leader elements of precursor-tRNAs. Cellular RNase Ps are ribonucleoproteins. The record is from RNAcentral. Lineage: Bacteria; Bacillati; Bacillota; Clostridia; Eubacteriales.
UGAGUAGUGUGGAUAAUCGCGGCUGCAAGUGUCGUAAGACCGCAGGUGAGGAAAGUCCGGGCUUCACAGGGCAGGAUGCCGGAUAACGUCCGGUGGAGGCGACUCCAAGGCUAGUGCAACAGAAAUAUACCGCCAUUUUAUGGUAAGGGUGGAAAGGCAGUUUAAGAGACUACCGCAUCACUGGUAACAGUGAUGGCCAUGUAAACCCCAUCCGAAGCAAGACCAAAUAAAAAGCUAUACGGCUGCCCGUCGUGCUUUUAGGUAGGUCGCUUGAGCCUGUUGGUAACAGCAGGACUAGAUAGAUGAUUAUCUCGUGUUCUGGGAGAAUUCCCAGGCGUAUGACAUAACCCGGCUUACAGCGCUGCUCAUAAU